CAUCUGGGCAGAGGGAUCCUCCUCCCAUCGAGGCUGUGCAAAGCCUAAGCAGUGUGUUGUGAGAUGCUGCUGGAGACGUCUGAUGCUUCACCUCCAGAACUGAUCCCAGGCAACCUCUUUUCCUGCUGCUUCCCAAAACAGACCAUGGAAAGUCUUUUUGGGAUGGAGCCUCCAGCUUUGUCCAGGUGCUGGCAACGGCUGCAGAGCAUCCAGGCUGUGACUGAAGCUGCCGAGCACCGUGGGCUACUGCAUCCCAUGUGGGCGCUGGCAAUUCGUCGUGAUACCAGCCUGGUACACAGAAAGCAAGCCCCAGAGACAUCUGGCAGAGGCUGGUUUGUCCCCCCCCAGUUUCUAGCAGGUGCACCAGUAACCGGUUUCGUAGCCCCAUCAUGUGUCUGCCAAGUGAACUGCAUUGCUGGCUCCCAGCUCUCUGGCCCCUGGGUCAGGCAACGCUUGGCCCCCUGCGGCACAAAAGUAUGCAGCUGGUGGUGCCUCCGGAGUCGGGAUGUGCCCAGGAAAUAUCCUGUCUCCAUCUGCUCUCCCGUCGGGAAAUUACUGCUGUGGUGGCGGCUUUGGAGCCGUGCUGAGCUGUUUUGCUGCCAGAGACCCUGCUCAUCACCCUGUGAUGCCCAUCAGUACCCAGCCAAGGUGGCAGGGCUGGGGCUAGGUUUUACAGGAGACCCACAGAACUCAUGUGGCAUGCUCAGCUGGCUGUGGUGGUGUUCUCUGUAGAACAAACAUAGAAUGUCAGGGGCUGGAAGGGACCUCCAAAGCUCAUCUGGUCCAGCCCCCCUGCCAGAGCAGGAUCACCUGGAGCAGAUCACACUGGAACACAUCCAGAUGGUUCUUGAGUAUCUCCAGAGAGAAAGACUCCACAAUCUCCCUGGGCAGCCUGUUCCAGUGCUCUGUCAUACUCACAGUGAAAAAAAUUCCCCCUCAAGUUCACAUGGAACCUCCUAUGCCUCAACUUCCACCCAUUGCCCCUUGUCCUGUCACUGGACAUCACCCAGCAGAGGCUGGCUGCAGCCUCCUGGCACUCACCCUGCACGUAUGUAUAAACAUUAAUCAGGUCACCCCUUAGUCUCCUCCUCUCCAAGCUAACAAGCCCCAGCUGCCUCAGUCUCUCCUCACAAGGAAGAUGUUCAACUUCCUGAAUCAUUUCCGUGGCUCUGUGCUGGGCUCUUUCAAGCAACUCCCUGUCUCUCUUGAGCUGG
Long non-coding RNA from Pogoniulus pusillus (Red-fronted tinkerbird), 1214 nucleotides. RefSeq lists it as uncharacterized. The transcript is spliced from 2 exons. NCBI's taxonomy places the organism in Eukaryota, Metazoa, Chordata, Aves, Piciformes, Lybiidae. The record is from RefSeq and is a predicted model, not a curated record.